This 66-nucleotide transfer RNA is filed under the name Orseolia oryzae (Asian rice gall midge). RNAcentral's name for it is "tRNA-Asp". The record is from RNAcentral. Lineage: Eukaryota; Metazoa; Arthropoda; Insecta; Diptera; Cecidomyiidae.
AAUUUAAUAGUUAAUUAUAUAAUAUUAAUUUGUCAUAUUAAAGUUAAUUUUUUUUAAUUUAAAUUU